This is a long non-coding RNA of Medicago truncatula (barrel medic), 609 nucleotides long. RefSeq lists it as uncharacterized. The record is from RefSeq and is a predicted model, not a curated record. The transcript has 3 exons. NCBI's taxonomy places the organism in Eukaryota, Viridiplantae, Streptophyta, Magnoliopsida, Fabales, Fabaceae.
ACCAAAUCUUGUUCUAUUAUGCAACAAGAAAAAUAACCUGUCCUGUGUGUUACAUAAAAAGAGGGGAAAUAUAUGGCUAUCAUUAAGUUCAUUUAUACAAUGUUUCUAUUUAUUUUCCUAUUUGUAAUUCCAACCAAAGUUGACGGAAGAAUCACACAUGAGACCCUGAGAAACAUGCCACUCCCAGGUUCCAAACCAAUACCUAUUUUACGAGGUGAAUGUAUUAGUGAUGCCGAAUGUAAGCAUCCAGAGUGCGAUAAUUGCCGAGGAAUUUGUCUUAAUUCUAGGUGUGUAUGCAUGAUGCGUCUUGGUUGGACCUACACAACCCCACAAAACUGACUUGUGAAGUGAGGAUUGCCCCCACUUAUAAACAAAUUAUCAGACCAACUCCUAACCGAUGUGGGACUCUUAACAACAGCUUCAACAAAAUGAUCUAUGUCUAUUGUCAUUUAGUUAUUGCGGUGAUAUCAAAUAAAUGGAUUUUAUGUUUACUUUUCUUUUCACUUGUUGUUAUGGCUUUUGUACUCUAAGAAAAUAAUCUAUUAUCUAUCUACUAUAUGUAUUAAAGUAAGGUUUCUCUAGUAACAACAAUUUACAAAUGACACUCUA